GUUUAUACUUUUGCAGUGUACUUCCUUGGGUACAUUUGAUUUCAUCCUAUGGCACCGUGAGUGGACAAAAAGUGGAACUGUCAAAGACCAACUUCUCAAGACCAUACCAGCAAGUGUUUAUAUUUAAUUUUAGCACAGAUAAGGCUUUAAACUUAAAUUUUUAAAGUACAAUAAUUUCUCAAACUGAAAUAUUUCUUACAGCUGUGAGAAAAAAUAUUCCUUCCAAGGAUUGUGGCUCAUUCCUCUCCUGAGACAGGGAAUCACUUCAUUCUUUGGAAAUGUCUUCAGAUCCUCUGGUGGUCUUCAAGAUUGGACUGUAACAUAUCCUCCACAAUGGAAGCAGCAAGUCUCCGCUGUAGAAAAUGAAGUCCAAAAGUAUAGUGUCACUGCAGAGCCUUUGACGCUUAAUCAAUGCAGGACUCUUCAUGUACAUCAUGCCAGCCAAAUGAUCAGUAACAUUGAUCCUGAGGACUUUCCACGUACUUUACAAGAAACUACAGCAAUGAAAGACAAGGAAAAAAUAUUCAAGAAACUGAUCUAAAGAACAAAGAAUCCAGCAUCCAUUGCCUGGCCUGGAAGGUCAGGGCAUGCUUGUUUCAGCGAGAAACAGGGAAAACGUUCCUUUUCCACGAACUUAUAAGAAAAUACCAGUGGGUUCAAUGCACAACCUGUAAAAACAGGCUACAUUUUCAGUGUGCUGGUCUGCCAGAAGACUGGAAUGAAAAGGACUUCUUUUGUAGAUGCAGUUUAAACCCUGAUAUCGACAACAUUCUGCAGUCCGUCAAAGCAGAAGAUAUUCUUACUGAUUCUGAGAUUAAGACAAAGGUUCUCAUCACACGGCUUGAAAACAUUCUGUAUGUCCCUGGCAGUGGAGUUGUUGACCAACACAUGGUCACAGAGGUGAUUCUGCCUGAGGUUGUCAGCCAGUGGCUGCAAAAUAACAACCUUUGCCGCUACCAAGCCAAGAUGAUGCUCAUAAAUACCGUGAAGGAAAAUGAGGGACUUUCGGAAGCCCAGGAAGAAGAAGCCACAGAAAAGGGAAGCCCGUUCAUUGUCGAUAGUCAGGCUGCAGCUGACUGGUGCAGAGAACAACAAUUUAGUGGAAGAAUAACACUUCCUGUUGUUCUGGAUAUGGACGAGCUAGAACAAGCAGAAGCUCUCGAAGCCCUCAAGACAUGGGAUGAAGACUAUAAUGAAUAUUCUCCAGCAGAGCAUUUUACUUUUGUUUUUGAAAAGAAGGAGGACUAUAGAAGUUCUGUUUGUACAUUGUAGAUGUAAAAAAACUAAAAGUUUUUGCAAGAUUUGAAGAACUUUGGUAAAUAAAGACUUUUACAAGUAACCAUAUAUCUUCAUUGCUGCAGCCUAUCUGGAUUUUAGAUAGAUUUAAGGAGAGACACAUACUAAUCAGCAUAGAAUUUGGGUACAACU
Fundulus heteroclitus (mummichog) is the source of this 1428-nucleotide long non-coding RNA. RefSeq lists it as uncharacterized. The transcript has 10 exons. Lineage: Eukaryota; Metazoa; Chordata; Actinopteri; Cyprinodontiformes; Fundulidae. The record is from RefSeq and is a predicted model, not a curated record.